Molecule: non-coding RNA, 1324 nt
Organism: Microcebus murinus (gray mouse lemur)
Lineage: Eukaryota; Metazoa; Chordata; Mammalia; Primates; Cheirogaleidae
Source: RefSeq, a predicted model, not a curated record
AUCAUUGUCCUCCAAGUGUUCUAGUUGGGUGUUCAGUGUUUGCACAGUUGAAUUUGAAAACAAAGGUCAGAGGCAAGAUUUGUCAGUCACUGUGGCCGUUUCACAAGAACAAUCUUUGGCUAAUGCUCAGAAGUUACAGAAAUAGACUGGUCACUGGCUGAUUAAAAUUGAAAAGCCAAAGAUUUUCCAAGAGGAAAAAAAGGAGGCGAGGACACCUGACUGGCCACUAGAAGAGAGCGUGUCUUGCUGAGGCGUCACUGGAGGUUGGGGCCUGCCUGGACACGGUCCCAGUCUGGGCUCUAGGCGUGUCCCAGUCAGAGCAGCUCCGCCAGGAGGGUGUUUCAUGGCUGCAGGGAAAUUCCAGAGCAGAUCCUGCCACUGCGGCGUUUGCGGAGGGUCGGCCUCCUGAGCAAUGGAGAUGGGAACCGGCUGGGUCUCCAAAGGACUAAGUGACCAGGAAAGUGCUCUGGGAACGCGCAGGAGCGGCACCACAAUAAUAUAACCGUAGUCCCCAUGAUUGCCACUUCCUUCUGUUCUCUGCUCCAGUGCUCCCUUCCUGACCUGCAAAUCUGUCCCCACCGCUCCCUCUCCCGGGUCACCCGGCCUUACACUCUCCCUGGCGGCACCAUGGCUCACAGCACUGCUCUUGUCUAGCAGCUUCCUCUCCACAAGGCAGGGGCCAGGAGGGCAGGGAGUUGCUUUGCUCACUGCUGUGUCCUCGGUGCCUAGAGAACCUGCCCGAAUUUACUGAGCACUCACUAUGUGCCAGACGCUGUAUGAAGUGUUUCAAGUGGGUUAUCUAAUUUCGUCCGCAUGACAACCCUAUGCAGGAUUUUCCCAAAGCAGGAAAAGGAAGCCCAGAGAAGUCGAGAGUCAGUUCAUAGUUGACCCUGACAGUCUUGACCCUCAGCUACCUGCCUGACUUGGCCAUGAGAACUCUCCCUUCCGACCCAGCCCCCACCCCCUGGUCAGGAGAGGGAAGCCCACCCCAGGGAGCUCUGACCUGCUGGAACAUCUCCCCCUGGCACUGAGGUGUCCAUGGCCAAUGACUGCCAGACUGCCUGACCCCCAGCAAGGGAAGCCAGGAAGCAGACCUGGUUGGCUGCAGAAGGGUCCUGUAGUAGGAGGGUGGCAUUUAUUACCAAGAGCCCAGGUUGGCUUAGGAAAGUGAGGGUAGUCUCUGAGUAGACAGAGACGAGGGUGCUUCAACACUUGGACUUGUGAUCACACAGAUAAAGUCCUCAGCUAAAAGACCAAUCUACAGGGCUGGGCGCGGUGGCUGAUGCCUGAAAUCCUAACACUCUGGAAGGCCAAGGCAGGCAGA